GAUGAACGCUGGCGGCGUGCCUAAUACAUGCAAGUCGAGCGAACGGACGAGAAGCUUGCUUCUCUGAUGUUAGCGGCGGACGGGUGAGUAACACGUGGAUAACCUACCUAUAAGACUGGGAUAACUUCGGGAAACCGGAGCUAAUACCGGAUGAUAUUUUGAACCGCAUGGUUCAAAAGUGAAAGACGGUCUUGCUGUCACUUAUAGAUGGAUCCGCGCUGCAUUAGCUAGUUGGUAAGGUAACGGCUUACCAAGGCAACGAUGCAUAGCCGACCUGAGAGGGGGAUCGGCCACACUGGAACUGAGACACGGUCCAGACCCCUAGGGGAGGCAGCAGUGGGAAUCUUCCGCAAUGGGCGAAAGCCUGACGGAGCAACGCCGCGUGAGUGAUGAAGGUCUUCGGAUCGUAAAACUCUGUUAUUAGGGAAGAACAUAUGUGUAAGUAACUGUGCACAUCUUGACGGUACCUAAUCAGAAAGCCACGGCUAACUACGUG
RNAcentral lists this ribosomal RNA (496 nucleotides) under uncultured bacterium. RNAcentral's name for it is "partial 16S ribosomal RNA". It matches the Rfam family "Bacterial small subunit ribosomal RNA", at positions 28 to 507 of the family's 1533-position model. The record is from RNAcentral.